AGUGAACGCUGGCGGUAGGCCUAACACAUGCAAGUCGAACGGCAGCACAGUAAGAGCUUGCUCUUACGGGUGGCGAGUGGCGGACGGGUGAGGAAUACAUCGGAAUCUACUUUUUCGUGGGGGAUAACGUAGGGAAACUUACGCUAAUACCGCAUACGACCUACGGGUGAAAGCAGGGGAUCUUCGGACCUUGCGCGAUUGAAUGAGCCGAUGUCGGAUUAGCUAGUUGGCGGGGUAAAGGCCCACCAAGGCGACGAUCCGUAGCUGGUCUGAGAGGAUGAUCAGCCACACUGGAACUGAGACACGGUCCAGACUCCUACGGGAGGCAGCAGUGGGGAAUAUUGGACAAUGGGCGCAAGCAUGAUCCAGCCAUACCGCGUGGGUGAAGAAGGCCUUCGGGUUGUAAAGCCCUUUUGUUGGGAAAGAAAAGCAGCAGGUUAAUACCCCGCUGUUCUGACGGUACCCAAAGAAUAAGCACCGGCUAACUUCGUG
This 492-nucleotide ribosomal RNA is filed under the name uncultured bacterium. RNAcentral's name for it is "partial 16S ribosomal RNA". It matches the Rfam family "Bacterial small subunit ribosomal RNA", at positions 29 to 507 of the family's 1533-position model. The record is from RNAcentral.